RNAcentral lists this ribosomal RNA (622 nucleotides) under Staphylococcus aureus. RNAcentral describes it as "partial 23S ribosomal RNA". It matches the Rfam family "Bacterial large subunit ribosomal RNA", at positions 1990 to 2611 of the family's 2925-position model. Lineage: Bacteria; Bacillati; Bacillota; Bacilli; Caryophanales; Staphylococcaceae. The record is from RNAcentral.
GCACGAAUGGCGUAAUGAUGGCCAGGCUGUCUCCACCCGAGACUCAGUGAAAUUGAACUCGCUGUGAAGAUGCAGUGUACCCGCGGCAAGACGGAAAGACCCCGUGAACCUUUACUAUAGCUUGACACUGAACAUUGAGCCUUGAUGUGUAGGAUAGGUGGGAGGCUUUGAAGUGUGGACGCCAGUCUGCAUGGAGCCGACCUUGAAAUACCACCCUUUAAUGUUUGAUGUUCUAACGUUGGCCCCUAAUCGGGGUUGCGGACAGUGUCUGGUGGGUAGUUUGACUGGGGCGGUCUCCUCCUAAAGAGUAACGGAGGAGCACGAAGGUUGGCUAAUCCUGGUCGGACAUCAGGAGGUUAGUGCAAUGGCAUAAGCCAGCUUGACUGCGAGCGUGACGGCGCGAGCAGGUGCGAAAGCAGGUCAUAGUGAUCCGGUGGUUCUGAAUGGAAGGGCCAUCGCUCAACGGAUAAAAGGUACUCCGGGGAUAACAGGCUGAUACCGCCCAAGAGUUCAUAUCGACGGCGGUGUUUGGCACCUCGAUGUCGGCUCAUCACAUCCUGGGGCUGAAGUAGGUCCCAAGGGUAUGGCUGUUCGCCAUUUAAAGUGGUACGCGAGCUGGGUU